Molecule: ribosomal RNA, 777 nt
Filed under: Pedobacter sp. 2P2E10
Lineage: Bacteria; Pseudomonadati; Bacteroidota; Sphingobacteriia; Sphingobacteriales; Sphingobacteriaceae
Description: bacterial SSU rRNA
Rfam family: Bacterial small subunit ribosomal RNA
Source: RNAcentral
UGCAAGUCGAACGAGAUUGAGGGGCUUGCUCUUCAUGAAAGUGGCGCACGGGUGCGUAACGCGUAUGCAACCUACCUUAAUCAGGGGGAUAGCCCGAAGAAAUUCGGAUUAAGACCGCAUAAAAUCACAGUACAGCAUUGUACAAUGAUCAAAUAUUUAUAGGAUUAAGAUGGGCAUGCGUGUCAUUAGUUAGUUGGCGAGGUAACGGCUCACCAAGACCACGAUGACUAGGGGAUCUGAGAGGAUGACCCCCCACACUGGUACUGAGACACGGACCAGACUCCUACGGGAGGCAGCAGUAAGGAAUAUUGGUCAAUGGAGGGAACUCUGAACCAGCCAUGCCGCGUGCAGGAUGACUGCCCUCUGGGUUGUAAACUGCUUUUAUUCGGGAAUAAACCACGUUACGUGUAAUGUGCUGAAUGUACCGAAAGAAUAAGGAUCGGCUAACUCCGUGCCAGCAGCCGCGGUAAUACGGAGGAUCCAAGCGUUAUCCGGAUUUAUUGGGUUUAAAGGGUGCGUAGGCGGCUUAUUAAGUCAGGGGUGAAAGACGGUGGCUCAACCAUCGCAGUGCCCUUGAUACUGAUGAGCUUGAAUACACUAGAGGUAGGCGGAAUGUGACAAGUAGCGGUGAAAUGCAUAGAUAUGUCACAGAACACCGAUUGCGAAGGCAGCUUACUAUGGUGUUAUUGACGCUGAGGCACGAAAGCGUGGGGAUCAAACAGGAUUAGAUACCCUGGUAGUCCACGCCCUAAACGAUGAAUACUCGCUGUUAGCGAU